Molecule: long non-coding RNA, 212 nt
Filed under: Rosa chinensis
Lineage: Eukaryota; Viridiplantae; Streptophyta; Magnoliopsida; Rosales; Rosaceae
Description: sRNA RchiOBHm_Chr5g0083631
Source: RNAcentral
CCUUCUCCGCCUCCGGCGAAGCCUAAGCAGCAGCCUCGUCGCAAAUCUCCACCGUUCUCUAUCGUCCACCUCCGCACUCUCCUCUGUCCCACGCUCCUCUUCCCCUUCCCCUUCCUCCUCCUCCUCCCCCGCCGUUGUUCAAUCUCUCCAAUUCCGAUUCCAAUCUCGAUCAUUCAGGUCGUCCUCCUUCUCUUCUGCACGGCCGCCUUACG